GAGUGGUGACUGGAUAGCACGGUUUGGUUGGAUCCCUGCUCAGUGCCGCGACGUCCAACCGUGCGUUCCUCUUCAUUCGUUGGCACAAGUAUCUCACUUGGCCGUCCCAUCGGUUUCCUGUGUUGCAUACCUACUAUGACGGAAUUCGGUUGCCAAUCAUCAUCGUUCGCCCAAGGCAGCCCGUCUAGCACGGCGCUGAUAAGGGCGAACCUCGAAGCGGGUUUCAUUUCCCAACCGUGUGCGCACCGCGCAUGUCGACUUGGUGAAUGACUCUCCGUUCGGUCUCUGGGAUGCGGAAUACGCAAUGGGCAUGGGGUCCUCGACUCCUAUUUGCCCACGACUAACGUCGAAAACUACAUUCGAACGACGUUCGGUGUCGCCAAGGUGUUCGUGCCUUGCGGCCCGAUGUCCGUGAGGAAUGCUACCUGGUUGAUCCUGCCAGUAGUCAUAUGCUUGUCUCAAAGAUUAAGCCAUGCAUGUGUAAGUAUGAACUAAUUCAGACUGUGAAACUGC
This 513-nucleotide unclassified non-coding RNA is filed under the name Coprosma propinqua var. martinii. Its description in RNAcentral is "partial external transcribed spacer". The stretch from base 423 to 513 matches the Rfam family "Eukaryotic small subunit ribosomal RNA", at positions 1 to 90 of the family's 1831-position model. Lineage: Eukaryota; Viridiplantae; Streptophyta; Magnoliopsida; Gentianales; Rubiaceae. The record is from RNAcentral.